AACGAACGCUGGCGGCAGGCCUAACACAUGCAAGUCGAACGCCGUAGCAAUACGGAGUGGCAGACGGGUGAGUAACACGUGGGAACGUACCCUUCGGUUCGGAAUAACUCAGGGAAACUUGAGCUAAUACCGGAUACGUCCGAGAGGAGAAAGAUUUAUCGCCGAGGGAUCGGCCCGCGUCUGAUUAGCUUGUUGGUGAGGUAACGGCUCACCAAGGCGACGAUCAGUAGCUGGUCGAGAGGAUGAUCAGCCACAUUGGGACUGAGACACGGCCCAAACUCCUACGGGAGGCAGCAGUGGGGAAUAUUGGACAAUGGGCGCAAGCCUGAUCCAGCCAUGCCGCGUGAGUGAUGAAGGCCCUAGGGUUGUAAAGCUCUUUUACCCGGGAAGAUAAUGACUGUACCGGGAGAAUAACGCCCCGGCUAACUUCGUGCCA
Molecule: ribosomal RNA, 436 nt
Filed under: uncultured bacterium
Lineage: Bacteria
Description: bacterial SSU rRNA
Rfam family: Bacterial small subunit ribosomal RNA
Source: RNAcentral